RNAcentral lists this ribosomal RNA (440 nucleotides) under uncultured bacterium. RNAcentral's name for it is "partial 16S ribosomal RNA". It matches the Rfam family "Bacterial small subunit ribosomal RNA", at positions 338 to 795 of the family's 1533-position model. The record is from RNAcentral.
CCUACGGGGGGCUGCAGUGGGGAAUAUUGCACAAUGGGGGAAACCCUGCUGCAGCGACGCCGCGUGAGUGAAGAAGUAAUUCGUUAUGUAAAGCUCUAUCAGCAGGGAAGAAAAUGACGGUACCUGAGUAAGAAGCCCCGGCUAACUACGUGCCAGCAGCCGCGGUAAUACGUAGGGGGCAAGCGUGAUCCGGAUUUACUGGGUGUAAAGGGAGCGUAGACGGCAGUGUAAGUCUGGAGUGAAAGGCGGGGGCGCAACCCCCGGACUGCUCUGGAAACUGUACGGCUGGAGUGCAGGAGAGGUAAGUGGAAUUCCUAGUGUAGCGGUGAAAUGCGUAGAUAUUAGGAGGAACACCAGUGGCGAAGGCGGCUUACUGGACUGUAACUGACGUUGAGGCUCGAAAGCGUGGGGAGCAAACAGGAUUAAAUACCCCUGUAGAC